CCUACGGGGGCAGCAGUAAGGAAUAUUGGUCAAUGGAGGCAACUCUGAACCAGCCAUGCCGCGUGCAGGAUGACGGCCCUAUGGGUUGUAAACUGCUUUUAUACAAGAGAAAACCCUGGUACGUGUACCAGGUUGAUAGUAUUGUAAGAAUAAGCAUCGGCUAACUUCGUGCCAGCAGCCGCGGUAAGACGAAGGAUGCAAGCGUUAUCCGGAUUCAUUGGGUUUAAAGGGUGCGUAGGCGGACUGAUAAGUCAGUGGUGAAAUCUCUUUGCUUAACAAGAAACUGCCAUUGAUACUGUCGGUCUAGAGUAUAGAUGACGUUGGCGGAAUAUGACAUGUAGUGGUGAAAUACUUAGAUAUGUCAUAGAACACCGAUUGCGAAGGCAGCUAACGAAACUAUAACUGACGCUGAGGCACGAAAGUGCGGGGAUCAAACAGGAUUAGAUACCCUGGUAGUCCGCACCGUAAACGAUGAUUACUCGUUGUUGGCGAUAUGACAGUCAGCGACCAGCGAAAGCGAUAGUAAUCCACCUGGGGAGUACGCCGGCAACGGUGAAACUCAAAUGAAUUGACGGGCGNGAGACGNGCGACGGACGACGACGAGGGGAGGAGG
This 613-nucleotide ribosomal RNA is filed under the name uncultured bacterium. Its description in RNAcentral is "bacterial SSU rRNA". It matches the Rfam family "Bacterial small subunit ribosomal RNA", at positions 338 to 959 of the family's 1533-position model. The record is from RNAcentral.